AUGCCGGCCUCUCCUCUGCCUCUCCCUCUCGACGUCGCCGGCCUCUACCACCACCCUCCGCCCCUUGUACCUCUGUUGUUCUUUCUCUCCACAUCACAUCUCAACGGUUUGUGCGGUCGUGUGCAGGCACUGUCCUCCCAUCUCAUCUUCUUGCGUGGUGAAGGAAUGAGGCCAGGCCAUGGAGAGAAAAGCUCAUGCUCAUGUCGAUUCAAGAGGAGAGGAGGGCCAUGGAGGGAGAAGCCUGCUGCUGCAAUGCCUACCUCGUCGUCCUCAUGGAGAAGGCCACGGAGAUGGCUGCGGAUCAAACUGCUGCACUUGGGGCAGAGAAGGAGAAGGGUUGGUGAUGGAUCCGCAGGGGUGCUGGAUCAGAAGUUGCCUGGAUCACCAUCGCCUGGAUGA
Molecule: ribosomal RNA, 399 nt
Filed under: Triticum aestivum (bread wheat)
Lineage: Eukaryota; Viridiplantae; Streptophyta; Magnoliopsida; Poales; Poaceae
Description: partial small subunit ribosomal RNA
Source: RNAcentral